AAAAAGAAAGAAAGUUAAAUGCCACAUUCUAAUACAAGACCAAGAGGAAUAUGAAACUAACAUAUUUAUGCUAAGACUAAGGACCCUAUAGUGCAUGGCACUAGGAACCAAAUGCACAAAUACAAACAUUUUAUACUAUCGUAGUCUCGCAAUGGUGUGAGCCAAGGUACUUGAGGUGAGUCGAGCUUCUGGAUCAAAAUAAACCUAUGCGCAAGAAACAACGGUGCGUUAAGUAUAAAUCUUAGUAAGAACUAAUGAAAAUAAAACAUGAAACUUACCUUAUUCAAAAUAAAGAAUAAUCAUAAAGAACUAAAAUUAAGUUACAAGCUAUCUAUCAA
RNAcentral lists this long non-coding RNA (338 nucleotides) under Gossypium barbadense (sea-island cotton). RNAcentral's name for it is "long non-coding RNA (GBAR_LNC016319)". Lineage: Eukaryota; Viridiplantae; Streptophyta; Magnoliopsida; Malvales; Malvaceae. The record is from RNAcentral.